GUUUGAAUAGUUUAUAAAAAAUACUAGUUUGUGGAAUUAGUGAAGUAGUUCAGUACUUUAAACA
Molecule: transfer RNA, 64 nt
Filed under: Himaloaesalus gaoligongshanus
Lineage: Eukaryota; Metazoa; Arthropoda; Insecta; Coleoptera; Lucanidae
Description: tRNA-His
Source: RNAcentral